This is a long non-coding RNA of Eucalyptus grandis, 969 nucleotides long. RefSeq lists it as uncharacterized. The transcript has 4 exons. The record is from RefSeq and is a predicted model, not a curated record. NCBI's taxonomy places the organism in Eukaryota, Viridiplantae, Streptophyta, Magnoliopsida, Myrtales, Myrtaceae.
UCUCGAGAGGUGACAACUAGAUCUUUGCUGUGGCAAAAGCAUCAACUUGCAAUCUAAGACUACAUUGUCUUGCUGGCUGAUUGACAUUCAAGUUGCCAGGGCCAAGAGAACAACAAUCUUGGAUGUUGACUCUAGCAGUGAGUCCAAUUGACUUGCAUAAGAAUGCAAGUUGAAAAAUCAAACAGAAAGGAAAGUUAAGUUCAAAGGCGUUCCUCCACUCCAGUGGUGGGUUGAAGGCAGGGAUAGCAGAGUGGCAUAAAAGAUGACAGUCUGGAACUGGGAGGAUCAAUGCCACUGUCAGUUUGGAGUUUAGUUGCUACAAGGUGCAUUCCCAUUCAUGGCUAGAUACACGACUGUGCGAGGCGAAUACGGCUGCGCUCUUCCACCAUGCCAUACACGAGACUGCACCACAUGGAUUAUUAUGAGAAUGAGUUUGCAGUAAAACCACAGCCAAAGUUUUUGAAUGGGGCCUUGCAACAGACUCACGGAAAGCAACAGGAGUGGCACGAACCAGGGAACGGAGUGGAAGGAGUCGUGGAACAGCAACCAAGCGAGUGAAUCCACCGAUAUCGAACCGGUGAAGUCAAUAAGGAAGGAUGAUGCUCCAUCACAAGAAGGAGCAUGGCUGCCAGAUAAGCGAAACGCAUCAACAAGAAAUGCAGGAGCAGGCUGCAGAUGGCGACGAUGGUGGUGACGGGGUGAGUUUCAAAGGGUGAAGUCAACUUCCCCUGGUAUUUUACUUUGAUGAAGUCGACCAGGAUAGAGACAAUGGAGGUUAAAUCCAUGACGCCAUGAGGGAUGAAGGCAGGGACAUCAUUUGUGGUUCUUUUUAUGGACAGUGGCCCUCAAAAGAAAUUGGGAUCAAAGAUAAUCUCAAAAAUUGUUACAAGGAGUAGAAUAAUUGUUUCUAGUAGCCAUAUGAAGCGUAGAAAUUGUUCUUGAGGUUAAAGCUUCUGACCUCUUUGAAAA